Molecule: ribosomal RNA, 393 nt
Filed under: uncultured bacterium
Lineage: Bacteria
Description: partial 16S ribosomal RNA
Rfam family: Bacterial small subunit ribosomal RNA
Source: RNAcentral
AUACGGAGGAUCCGAGCGUUAUCCGGAUUUAUUGGGUUUAAAGGGUGCGCAGGCGGGAGAUUAAGUCGGCGGUGAAAUUUUGCAGCUCAACUGUAAAAGUGCCUUCGAAACUGGUUUCCUUGAGUGUAGAUGAAGUAGGCGGAAUUUGUGGGGUAGCGGUGAAAUGCAUAGAUAUCACGAGGAACUCCGAUUGCGCAGGCAGCUUACUAAACUACUACUGACGCUCAGGCACGAAGGCGUGGGGAUCAAACAGGAUUAGAUACCCUGGUAGUCCACGCAGUAAACGAUGAUCACUAGCUGUUUGCGAUACAAUGUAAGCGGCUGAGCGAAAGCGUUAAGUAAUCCACCUGGGGAGUACGUUCGCAAGAAUGAAACUUAAAGGAAUUGACGGGG